UGGCGGACGGGUGAGUAACGCGUGGGUAACCUGCCCUGUACAGGGGGACAACAGUUAGAAAUGACUGCUAAUACCGCAUAAGCGCACAGGACCGCAUGGUCCGGUGUGAAAAACUCCGGUGGUACAGGAUGGACCCGCGUCUGAUUAGGUAGUUGGCGGGGUAACGGCCCACCAAGCCGACGAUCAGUAGCCGACCUGAGGGGGUGAUCGGCCACAUUGGGACUGAGACACGGCCCAAACUCCUACGGAAGGCAGCAG
RNAcentral lists this ribosomal RNA (258 nucleotides) under uncultured bacterium. Its description in RNAcentral is "partial 16S ribosomal RNA". It matches the Rfam family "Bacterial small subunit ribosomal RNA", at positions 96 to 354 of the family's 1533-position model. The record is from RNAcentral.